This 846-nucleotide ribosomal RNA is filed under the name Pristimantis jaguensis. Its description in RNAcentral is "partial 16S ribosomal RNA". It matches the Rfam family "Bacterial large subunit ribosomal RNA", at positions 1505 to 2558 of the family's 2925-position model. The record is from RNAcentral. Lineage: Eukaryota; Metazoa; Chordata; Amphibia; Anura; Strabomantidae.
ACCUUCAAAAAAGCGUCAAAGCUUAGAUACACAUACCUUAAUUUAUUUAUCCAUAUUGAACCCUUUAAUUGUACUGAGAACUUCUAUACUAUAUAGAAUUUUUUAUGCUAAAACUAGUAACAAGAGAUACCCCUCUCCCUAGUGUAAAUGUAAGUCAGCAAGAACCCAUCACUGACAACUAACAGAUUUAAACAAAAGUAGUAACUCCACAAGAAAACCCCACUUUUUCUCCUGUUAACCUAACACAAGAACACUUCAAGAAAGAUUAAAAGAAAAAGAAGGAACUCGGCAAAACCUAGCCCCGCCUGUUUACCAAAAACAUCGCCUCUUGAUUACCUCUAUAAGAGGUCUUGCCUGCCCAGUGACUCUGUUCAACGGCCGCGGUACCCUAACCGUGCGAAGGUAGCGUAAUCACUUGUUUUCUAAAUAAAGACCAGUAUGAAAGGCGUCACGAGGGUUAAACUGUCUCCUCUUUCUAAUCAGUGAACCUAAUCUUCCCGUGAAGAAGCGGGAAUUACCCCAUAAGACGAGAAGACCCUGUGGAGCUUAAAACAUCAUAACACUGCUAACAAAUACCAAUAUUCAGAUACCCCCUCCCUCAAAGCACGAUGAUUAUAAGUUUUUGGUUGGGGUGACCGCGGAGAAAAAUUAAACCUCCACUAUGAAAAGAGCCCUCCUUAACAAUAAGCUACAACCUUAUGUAUCAACAAAUUGACAUUAUUGACCCAACAAAUUGAUCAACGAACCAAGUUACCCCAGGGAUAACAGCGCAAUCCACUUUGAGAGCUCUUAUCGACAAGUGGGCUUACGACCUCGAUGUUGGAUCGGGAUAUCCUAGUGGUGCAG